This 372-nucleotide transfer-messenger RNA is filed under the name Campylobacteraceae bacterium. It matches the Rfam family "transfer-messenger RNA". Rfam says of the family: Bacterial tmRNA, also known as 10Sa RNA or SsrA, is named for its dual tRNA and mRNA-like properties. Lineage: Bacteria; Pseudomonadati; Campylobacterota; Epsilonproteobacteria; Campylobacterales; Campylobacteraceae. RNAcentral also lists the same sequence under 1 other name. The record is from RNAcentral.
GGGCUAGACUUGGUUUCGACUGGAGUAGUUCGGUAUUAAUAGCAUGUACGACUGAGCCUCGUUAAAAAGCUCAAAUUUUUUAGACGCAAAUAAUAAUAAUUAUUCUCCUGCUUACGCAAAAAUAGCGUAAGUUUAACUUAUAAGGAGCCUUCGUUCACUCAUAGUUGUCUUGAGUGUUUAUAGAGGGUCAUAGUCAGACAACUUAUCUUUUGAGAAUUGAUCUGAAUCAAAAGAGACAUUCAAGAUCUAAGCUUUUUUAUAGCUUUCCGGGAGUUGUGCUGUAGAAGAGUGAAUUUUACAACUCUGCUAAACAUGUAGAAGUUAAUAUUAGACUAUUUUAGGACUCGGGUUCAAUUCCCGACUAGUCCACCA